Molecule: unclassified non-coding RNA, 433 nt
Filed under: soil metagenome
Description: partial contains 5.8S ribosomal RNA, internal transcribed spacer 2, and large subunit ribosomal RNA
Rfam family: 5.8S ribosomal RNA (bases 1-120)
Source: RNAcentral
GAUGAAGAACGUAGCGAAAUGCGAUACGUAAUGUGUAUUGCAGAAUUCAGUGAAUCAUCGAAUCUUUGAACGCAUAUUGCGCUCUCUGGUAUUCCGGAGAGCAUGCUUGUUUGAGUAUCAGUAAACACCUCAACUUCCAUAUCUUUUUUUGAAAUGGGAGUUGGACUUGAGUGAUCCCAACGCUUUUCCUCACCGAAAAGUGGCGGGUUACUUGAAAUGCAGGUGCAGCUGGACUUUUCUCUGAGCUAUAAGCAUAUCUAUUUAGUCUGCCUAAAAAACAGAUUAUUACCUUUGCUGCAGCUAACAUAAAGGAGAUUAGUUCUUGUGCUGACUGAUGCAGGAUUCACAAAGACAGCUUCGGCCGACUUUGUAAACUCGAUCUCAAAUCAAGUAAGACUACCCGCUGAACUUAAGCAUAUCAAUAAGCGGAGGA